GAUGAACGCUGGCGGCGUGCCUAAUACAUGCAAGUCGAGCGAACAGACGCUGAUCUUGCUCCUCUGACGUUAGCGGCGGACGGGUGAGUAACACGUGUAUAACCUACCUAUCAGACUGGGAUCACUUCGGGAAACCGGCUCUAAUACCGGAUAAUAUAUUGAACCGCAUGGUUCAAUAGUGAAUGACGGUUUUUCUGUCACUUCUAGAUGGAUCCGCGCCGCAUUAGCUAGUUGGUAAGGUAACGGCUUACCAAGGCAACGAUGCGUAGACGACCUGAGAGGGGGAUCGGCCGCAUUGGAACUGAGACGGGGUCAAGAGUACUAAGGGAGGCAGCAGUAGGGAAUCUUACGCAAUGGGCGAAAGCCUGACGGAGCAACGCCGCGUGAGUGAUGAAGGUCUUAGGAGCGUAAAACUCGGUUAUUAGGGAAGAACAAAUGUGUAAGUAACUAUGCACGUAUUGACGGUACCUAAUCAGAAAGCCACGGCUAACUACGUG
RNAcentral lists this ribosomal RNA (497 nucleotides) under uncultured bacterium. RNAcentral describes it as "partial 16S ribosomal RNA". It matches the Rfam family "Bacterial small subunit ribosomal RNA", at positions 28 to 507 of the family's 1533-position model. The record is from RNAcentral.